UUUCCGUAGGUGAACCUGCGGAAGGAUCAUUAUCAUGUAAUUCAGUCCCCUUGGCUGUGUUAUAUAUAUACCCACUCUGUGUACCUUCUCCUGUUGCUUCCGCUGGGCGUGUAAUUCGCCCGGCGGAAGGGUAAAAAUAACCUCUGAGUAUUGAUGAAAUCUCUGUCUGAACCGAAUAGAAAGAAAAAUGUUAAAACUUUCAGCAACGGAUCUCUUGGUUCUC
RNAcentral lists this unclassified non-coding RNA (223 nucleotides) under plant metagenome. RNAcentral describes it as "partial contains small subunit ribosomal RNA, internal transcribed spacer 1, and 5.8S ribosomal RNA". The record is from RNAcentral.